ACAUGCUUCUUUAUAUCCCCAUA
RNAcentral lists this microRNA (23 nucleotides) under Chrysemys picta bellii (western painted turtle). Its description in RNAcentral is "Cpi-Mir-1-P2_5p* (star (passenger))". The record is from RNAcentral. Lineage: Eukaryota; Metazoa; Chordata; Testudines; Emydidae. RNAcentral also lists the same sequence under 21 other names.